Long non-coding RNA from Mauremys reevesii (Reeves's turtle), 2020 nucleotides. RefSeq lists it as uncharacterized. The transcript is spliced from 7 exons. The record is from RefSeq and is a predicted model, not a curated record. Lineage: Eukaryota; Metazoa; Chordata; Testudines; Geoemydidae.
GGAGAGUAGAUUUUUAGUUCUCUGAUCCUGAAGUGAGGACUGCCUGAAGGCAGGAGCUUCUGGGACAACUGAAGUAAAGUAAAAGAGGGCCUGAUCCUGACUUGUGUCGAGAGGGGACUAUUCCUAUCUAUUGUUGGGUCUGGACUAUCUGGGAGUCAGCUGAGGGCUGAGCCUCUUAGGCCUGGAACUGGAGUGGGAAGCUCUCCUGGCCCUUGGAGAGCUGUGGCCUAGAUUGUACAAGUUACAUGUUGCAAUGACCAAGGCAUAGAAUCUUGGUGGUGGAUCUGAAUAGGAAAAGACAAACUUCUAAAGAUGCUGGAGUGAAACUACCUGGAGCAGUUUUGUCUGGUCUUCUCAUCUUGCGCCCUGUGGAAGAUCCUGCUGGUAUGGCCACUGCCCAGCUGAUACUGCCCCUCUUGAGAGUUUCCUCUGAUUGCUGCUAUUACCCCACAUACCAGAGGACUCUGAGCUCUCUCUUUGAGGGAAUCUGUUGGUGGAAGAGGAGUACUUGGAGCAGCUACACAUGACCUACGUCAGCAGGGGGUUCGACACCUUAUGAAGAAGCAGCAGGCAGCCAGGGGACUUCACUGGAGUUUCCUGUAUUCAUUAAUAGUGGGAGGAAGUUUCUGGUUUUCAUGGUCAAGGAGAGAGCCAUCCAAAUGGGAGCCACGUGCAGUAGAUGCAGUGUGGCUGCCUGAGUAUGCAGCCUUCUGGAAACAAUGAUUUUGAACGGUGUGAACCCUCUCCCCCUAUUCUGUAUUAACUUCAAUGGAGUGUCAACAUCAGUGUCAACACUUACUGUGGCAUCACUGAUCAUUUUCGUAGAAGGAAGACUGUGGAAGCAGGGGAAGUUAGGAAUAGCUACAGGGAAGGAAAUGGAAAAAUAGAGGAGACAAAUAUAGGGAAGAGGGAGAGAAACAGAAUGGAGGAUGGGGAAGGAAGAGGAGCAAACGGCAAAAAUAGCAGUGAUCCUAAAGGUGGGAAUAUUUUCUGUCGAAGUGAUACUGAAUGCAACAAUAAGAUACUCAGUAAGUAACAAUAGUAACUAAAAGGUUACUGCAUAAAAGUCAUAUUUUAUCCCUGAUCUUUGUGCAAUGUCCCCUUCCCCCUGACACUGAUGGUGAUUUCCUAUGUGGAUUAAGGGGUGUAUUUAGUCCUCUAUUUAUACACAGCCCACUGAUUUUUAAUGGAAUUUGGCCAUCUCCACCCAAUGUUUGACAUCUGAUUUAGAGCAAAAUUGAAUCACAAGAAAUUCCACAGAACCCAGUGAGUCAUCACCAGGUUUAUUUAAACUUACUUAAUUAAUUUAAAAUAGCUGUACGUAUAAUGAUGUGACAAUCCAAAAGCUUUAUUUUCAGAUAGGCAUCUGAGUGUUUUUCCAGAUAGCACAACAGACUUCUUUUUUCAAACACCUGUUUGGUAUAAGUAAAAUUAAUAUAAUAGAGAUCAAAGAACGACUUAGAUUCAGAGCUUGAAAUAACAAUUUAACAGAGGAAAAAACCCUCAUAAAGGGGGAGAUGUUCUCAUGUGAUAUUCUGCAAUGCUACAGAAUUGCUGAGAGAGGACACCUAGUGGUGAUUAGUGGUUCAGUAUAUGCACAUGCCUAUUAAAAAGAGUUUGUGUAGCUGCUGAAAAUAUGUAAUAAAGUUAAUAAUUGCCCUAAGGGGCUAACUGUUACAGCAGGCAGCUCUUUACCAAAAUAUUCUGCUUAGAAUUUACUAAAAUCCAAUUGACUUUAUCAUGACCACCACUUAAUGAUUUAAGUAGAAGGUCUAGAAAUUAAGGCAAAACUUGUCUUCCUUUUCCCCUUAAGACUUGUUUUGCUAAAGGAACUAGCUUGUCAAUAGAGGGUCCUUUAAAAUAAGACCCUUGUAUGAAAAUGCUUUUAAUUACCUGUCUGUAAGAUCAGGAAUUAUUUCUUUUAGAGAGAGAGAGAGAUCAUAGGAAAGAUUUUGAUGAUUUUUGUGUGUAUUGGUAACUUUGUAAUCAGUCAUUAAAUAAAUUAAAAUGCAAAAUAAAA